UGGGGAAUAUUGCACAAUGGGCGCAAGCCUGAUGCAGCCAUGCCGCGUGUAUGAAGAAGGCCUACGGGUUGUAAAGUACUUUCAGUCGGGAGGAAGGUGGUAAGGUUAAUAACCUUAUCAAUUGACGUUACCGACAGAAGAAGCACCGGCUAACUCCGUGCCAGCAGCCGCGGUAAUACGGAGGGUGCAAGCGUUAAUCGGAAUUACUGGGCGUAAAGCGCACGCAGGCGGUUGAUUGAGUCAGAUGUGAAAUCCCCGGGCUUAACCCGGGAAUUGCAUCUGAUACUGGUCAGCUAGAGUCUUGUAGAGGGGGGUAGAAUUCCAUGUGUAGCGGUGAAAUGCGUAGAGAUGUGGAGGAAUACCGGUGGCGAAGGCGGCCCCCUGGACAAAGACUGACGCUCAGGUGCGAAAGCGUGGGGAGCAAACAGG
Molecule: ribosomal RNA, 429 nt
Filed under: Chloroflexota bacterium
Lineage: Bacteria; Bacillati; Chloroflexota
Description: Chloroflexi bacterium partial 16S ribosomal RNA
Rfam family: Bacterial small subunit ribosomal RNA
Source: RNAcentral